UGGCUUUUCGAACUGUCUGGUGGCUAUUUUUGUUUUGUGCGUCAUUUAAACUUAAAUUAAUUCACAUAGUUUUACCUCGGCUGAUGUUUUAUCUUAGUUCAUUCUGAGGUUGGUUUGCUCUUUGACUAAUUGCGGUAUGCAUGCAGUAUCCAAAUAACUAGUUCUGAAGUACAUGUUUUCUGCAAUCUCCACUGCAUUCUUUUAAGAGUUAUCUUCAUGACCUUCGAGGCAUUCGGGUGUGUCCUUUUUCUGGAACCGCCUUUCUCAAUUUUGAACUUGACACGAACAAGGUGGCAUGACAGUCUACUACCAGUUUUAGUAUCAGUGAUGUUCUUUUUUUUGCAGUUUAUGCGCUCUCUCUAUUUAUUUAUUGAAGAUCCUUUUCCGCCAUGCAUAUUAAUUUAUUGCUGGGCGAACUUUGAUCUAAUAAAAGAGAAAGUGAACAAACUUGCACUCUGUGAGAUGUUAUCUUGAAGUGUUUACAUUGAAGAUAAACCUAGCCCAAGUCUAAGUGCGAGUCUUCUUGGUUCAAAGACAACUGCAUCACUUUGCUCUAUCUUAUUUGGCUUCAAGCAGCCUGUAACCAAGACCAACCGAGUGGUGCUAGGCACCAAAAGUGACCAUCUUCAACACCCUCACUUUUUCUUUUUUUUUCGCGAAAGACCGAAUAUCUCAUCACCUGUCAUAGCAGACAAAUAAAUCUGAAUCUAAUUAGUAUUUUGUAACUAAGCAUCUUCAAACAGGAACUUAUUUAAAUUCUACUUUAUCGGAGAUUUCUUAUUUUUUGUCUCAAAGAUACCAUAAAAAUCGAAAAUAUUGUUCACGCCUCCGGUAAUAAAUCGUGUCUGAGUAUCGCCGCUUUCGCUAUACUCUGUCAAAUAGAUCUCUGAAGCGUCAACUCGCUCGAUCAAGCCUAAGGCUAAACAAGGUCGUCUUGUCUCAGUAUUUGACCAACCCAAAUCAAGAAUCGCUUACAGAAUAUCGGUCUGUGACGAAUAGAAGACCUCGAAAGCGAGACAGCUUGGCAACAAAACAAAGAGUGUGGAAAGACUUAAAUCAGUAGACCAAACAACAAAAUGUCAGCAAUUGCAUUGAGACUUCAAACAAGCCCGCUAGCUGUCCAAAAAAUGCUGGACGUUAAGAAGAUGAUAGCUGUCUGUGUUCUUUUCGGACUCCUUGUUCAACCGAUAAGUAGCGCCAGAAUACCCAGGGAUUCUGCAACCAAUUCGCCAUCGCCACUGUACCGAGAAACCAGCCAGAAAAAACUUCAAGUGACGGAUGGUGUGUUCUUUGAACUCUUCUGCGAACGCCCCCACGAAUGCUUCGAGACAUGCACAACAAAUAUACAGGGUGGCGUAAUGCAUAUUGACGAAGAUUGCGAACAGUUUUGGCAGGAAGAAUGGGGCGGGUCUGGAUUUGUACACUACUGUACCUGCCACUCUGAAAACGAAUUGGAGCACAAUUCAACCGAAGAUUCGAAUGAAUACCCAUAAUGAUGAUGAUCAUGAACAUCCCUUCCCGAGAUGAAGAGAAAAAUUCAACUUGGAACACGAUUAAUAAUUGAAAGAAAUUAGACGAAGGCAACUUUCCUUGCAAACAAUAAUAAUGACGAAGUAUUCGUAUUCAAGAGCUAUAUUUGUGUCAAACCGCAUGCCUUUUCUUUCACUCACUUAAUUUAUGCGGCCUCAUUUUCAACAUCAAACUCAGCAAGCAAUUGAAAAAAUAAAAAACAAGGAAAACGAAGAUAUAUUCUUAAAUUAUUGUGAUGUUUUACACAAGAUAAUGUUUUGUCAAAAAUUCGACUUGAUGAUGUGUUUUUGCCAAUUAAGCCGAGUACGGCAAUCAAUAAAUAUCAAUUCAGUGGUACAAAUAUGA
Long non-coding RNA from Symsagittifera roscoffensis, 1875 nucleotides. RefSeq lists it as uncharacterized. The transcript has 2 exons. Lineage: Eukaryota; Metazoa; Xenacoelomorpha; Acoela; Convolutidae. The record is from RefSeq and is a predicted model, not a curated record.